This 935-nucleotide ribosomal RNA is filed under the name uncultured bacterium. Its description in RNAcentral is "bacterial SSU rRNA". It matches the Rfam family "Bacterial small subunit ribosomal RNA", at positions 14 to 916 of the family's 1533-position model. The record is from RNAcentral.
UGAUCCUGGCUCAGGACGAACGCUGGCGGCGUGCCUAAUACAUGCAAGUCGAACGAAGCUUUCUUUCACCGAAUGCUUGCAUUCACCGAAAGAAGCUUAGUGGCGAACGGGUGAGUAACACGUAGGCAACCUGCCCAAAAGAGGGGGAUAACACUUGGAAACAGGUGCUAAUACCGCAUAACCAUGAACACCGCAUGAUGUUCAUGUAAAAGACGGCUUUUGCUGUCACUUUUGGAUGGGCCUGCGGCGUAUUAACUUGUUGGUGGGGUAACGGCCUACCAAGGUGAUGAUACGUAGCCGAACUGAGAGGUUGAUCGGCCACAUUGGGACUGAGACACGGCCCAAACUCCUACGGGAGGCAGCAGUAGGGAAUCUUCCACAAUGGACGAAAGUCUGAUGGAGCAACGCCGCGUGAAUGAAGAAGGCCUUCGGGUCGUAAAAUUCUGUUGUCAGAGAAGAACGUGCGUGAGAGUAACUGUUCACGUAUUGACGGUAUCUGACCAGAAAGCCACGGCUAACUACGUGCCAGCAGCCGCGGUAAUACGUAGGUGGCGAGCGUUGUCCGGAUUUAUUGGGCGUAAAGGGAACGCAGGCGGUCUUUUAAGUCUGAUGUGAAAGCCUUCGGCUUAACCGAAGUAGUGCAUUGGAAACUGGAAGACUUGAGUGCAGAAGAGGAGAGUGGAACUCCAUGUGUAGCGGUGAAAUGCGUAGAUAUAUGGAAGAACACCAGUGGCGAAAGCGGCUCUCUGGUCUGUAACUGACGCUGAGGUUCGAAAGCGUGGGUAGCAAACAGGAUUAGAUACCCUGGUAGUCCACGCCGUAAACGAUGAGUGCUAAGUGUUGGAGGGUUUCCGCCCUUCAGUGCUGCAGCUAACGCAUUAAGCACUCCGCCUGGGGAGUACGGUCGCAAGACUGAAACUCAAAGGAAUUGACGG